Molecule: long non-coding RNA, 384 nt
Organism: Cercocebus atys (sooty mangabey)
Lineage: Eukaryota; Metazoa; Chordata; Mammalia; Primates; Cercopithecidae
Exons: 3
Source: RefSeq, a predicted model, not a curated record
AGUGGAGGCACCCAGGUGGUUCCCAGAGACCUCAAUUUCUAAAAGAAUGCUGCCCUUCUUUUCUCAAGAGAAGGCCUGGCUGAAAUGAAUGACACAAAUCAGUGAGGUAAACCUGUGGUCCCUUUGGUUUGGCCACCACCACGACCUCCUCAGAUGUUUUCUUCUUCCCAGCGGACUCUUCCAGCUUGGAUACAUGCUUGGUCAUGUUCUUCAGCUCAGGCGACUGCUGUUCAGGUGAGGAGAAUGAUCAAAGCCAGCAGAAUUAUGAGAAGGAGAUGAUUUUGAGGUUCUGGAUAAACCUUGUCCAAGAACAAACCUACCUUGGCAUUUUUACUCAGGAAGCUACGGCCAAAUUUCUUGAGGUUUUCGUAAGUUAUGUCAUCC